CAGAGGUGGCAAGCGUUGUUCGGAAUUACUGGGCGUAAAGGGCGCGUAGGCGGUUUUGUAAGUCAGACGUGAAAUCCCCAGGCUUAACUUGGGAACUGCGUCUGAUACUGCAAAACUUGAGUGCGGGAGAGGGAUGUGGAAUUCCAGGUGUAGCGGUGAAAUGCGUAGAUAUCUGGAGGAACACCGGUGGCGAAGGCGGCAUCCUGGACCGACACUGACGCUGAGGCGCGAAAGCUAGGGGAGCAAACGGGAUUAGAUACCCCGGUAGUCCUAGCCCUAAACGAUGAGUGCUUGGUGUGGCGGGUAUCGAUCCCUGCCGUGCCGAAGCUAACGCAUUAAGCACUCCGCCUGGGGAGUACGGUCGCAAGGCUG
RNAcentral lists this ribosomal RNA (372 nucleotides) under uncultured organism. RNAcentral's name for it is "bacterial SSU rRNA". It matches the Rfam family "Bacterial small subunit ribosomal RNA", at positions 526 to 896 of the family's 1533-position model. The record is from RNAcentral.